Molecule: ribosomal RNA, 2941 nt
Filed under: Acinetobacter baumannii
Lineage: Bacteria; Pseudomonadati; Pseudomonadota; Gammaproteobacteria; Moraxellales; Moraxellaceae
Description: bacterial LSU rRNA
Rfam family: Bacterial large subunit ribosomal RNA
Source: RNAcentral
GUUGUAUAGUCAAGUAAUUAAGUGCAUGUGGUGGAUGCCUUGGCAGUCAGAGGCGAUGAAAGACGUGAUAGCCUGCGAAAAGCUCCGGGGAGGCGGCAAAUAUCCUUUGAUCCGGAGAUGUCUGAAUGGGGGAACCCACCUACUUUAAGGUAGGUAUUGCAACAUGAAUACAUAGUGUUGCAAGGCGAACGAGGGGAAGUGAAACAUCUCAGUACCCUUAGGAAAAGAAAUCAAUUGAGAUUCCCUCAGUAGCGGCGAGCGAACGGGGAUCAGCCCAUUAAGUUAUGUGUGUUUUAGUGGAACGCUCUGGGAAGUGCGAACGUAGAGGGUGAUAUUCCCGUACACGAAAGGGCACACAUAAUGAUGACGAGUAGGGCGAGGCACGUGAAACCUUGUCUGAAUAUGGGGGGACCAUCCUCCAAGGCUAAAUACUCCUGACUGACCGAUAGUGAACCAGUACCGUGAGGGAAAGGCGAAAAGAACCCCUGUGAGGGGAGUGAAAUAGAUCCUGAAACCGCAUGCAUACAAGCAGUGGGAGCACCUUCGUGGUGUGACUGCGUACCUUUUGUAUAAUGGGUCAGCGACUUAUAUUCAGUAGCAAGGUUAACCGUAUAGGGGAGCCGUAGAGAAAUCGAGUCUUAAUAGGGCGUUUAGUUGCUGGGUAUAGACCCGAAACCAGGCGAUCUAUCCAUGAGCAGGUUGAAGGUUGGGUAACACUAACUGGAGGACCGAACCCACUGUCGUUGAAAAGCCAGGGGAUGACUUGUGGAUAGGGGUGAAAGGCUAAUCAAGCCUGGUGAUAGCUGGUUCUCCCCGAAAGCUAUUUAGGUAGCGCCUCGGACGAAUACCAUAGGGGGUAGAGCACUGUUUCGGCUAGGGGGUCAUCCCGACUUACCAAACCGAUGCAAACUCCGAAUACCUAUGAGUACUAUCCGGGAGACAGACUGCGGGUGCUAACGUCCGUAGUCAAGAGGAAAACAAUCCAGACCGCCAGCUAAGGCCCCAAAAUCAUAGUUAAGUGGGAAACGAUGUGGGAAGGCAUAGACAGCUAGGAGGUUGGCUUANNNNNNNNNNNGAAGCAGCCACCCUUUAAAGAAAGCGUAAUAGCUCACUAGUCGAGUCGGCCUGCGCGGAAGAUGUAACGGGGCUAAAACUAUGUGCCGAAGCUGCGGAUGUAUACUUUGUAUACGUGGUAGGGGAGCGUUCUGUAAGCCGAUGAAGGUGUGUUGAGAAGCNNNNNNNNNNNNAUGCUGGAGGUAUCAGAAGUGCGAAUGCUGACGUGAGUAACGACAAAACGGGUGAAAAACCCGUUCGCCGAAAGACCAAGGGUUCCAGUCCAACGUUAAUCGGGGCUGGGUGAGUCGACCCCUAAGGCGAGGCCGAAAGGCGUAGUCGAUGGGAAAAUGGUUAAUAUUCCAUUACUUCUGUGUAAUGCGAUGAGAGGACGGAGAAGGCUAAAUCAGCCUGGCGUUGGUUGUCCAGGUGAAAGGAUGUAGGCAUGUAUCUUAGGCAAAUCCGGGGUACUCUAUGCUGAGAUCUGAUAGCAAGCUGUACUUGUACAGCGAAGUGGUUGAUGCCAUGCUUCCAGGAAAAGUCUCUAAGCUUCAGUUACACAGGAAUCGUACCCGAAACCGACACAGGUGGUCAGGUCGAGUAGACCAAGGCGCUUGAGAGAACUCUGCUGAAGGAACUAGGCAAAAUGGUACCGUAACUUCGGGAGAAGGUACGCUGUUGUUGGUGAUGGAACUCGCUUCCUGAGCUGACGACAGCCGCAGAAACCAGGCCGCUGCAACUGUUUAUUAAAAACAUAGCACUCUGCAAACACGAAAGUGGACGUAUAGGGUGUGAUGCCUGCCCGGUGCUGGAAGGUUAAUUGAUGGGGUUAGCGUAAGCGAAGCUCUUGAUCGAAGCCCCAGUAAACGGCGGCCGUAACUAUAACGGUCCUAAGGUAGCGAAAUUCCUUGUCGGGUAAGUUCCGACCUGCACGAAUGGCAUAAUGAUGGCGGCGCUGUCUCCAGCAGAGGCUCAGUGAAAUCGAAAUCGCUGUGAAGAUGCAGUGUACCCGCGGCUAGACGGAAAGACCCCGUGAACCUUUACUGCAGCUUGACACUGAACUUUGACCUUACUUGUGUAGGAUAGGUGGGAGGCUUUGAAGCUGGAACGCUAGUUCCAGUGGAGCCGUCCUUGAAAUACCACCCUGGUAAUGUUGAGGUUCUAACUCUGUCCCGUGAUCCGGGACGAGGACCGUGUCUGGUGGGUAGUUUGACUGGGGCGGUCUCCUCCUAAAGAGUAACGGAGGAGUACGAAGGUGCGCUCAGCGUGGUCGGAAAUCACGCGUAGAGUAUAAAGGCAAAAGCGCGCUUAACUGCGAGACCCACAAGUCGAGCAGGUACGAAAGUAGGUCUUAGUGAUCCGGUGGUUCUGUAUGGAAGGGCCAUCGCUCAACGGAUAAAAGGUACUCUGGGGAUAACAGGCUGAUACCGCCCAAGAGUUCAUAUCGACGGCGGUGUUUGGCACCUCGAUGUCGGCUCAUCUCAUCCUGGGGCUGAAGCAGGUCCCAAGGGUAUGGCUGUUCGCCAUUUAAAGAGGUACGCGAGCUGGGUUUAGAACGUCGUGAGACAGUUCGGUCCCUAUCUACCGUGGGCGCUGGAAAUUUGAGAGGAUCUGCUCCUAGUACGAGAGGACCAGAGUGGACGAACCUCUGGUGUACCGGUUGUGACGCCAGUCGCAUCGCCGGGUAGCUAUGUUCGGAAGGGAUAACCGCUGAAAGCAUCUAAGCGGGAAGCCUACCUCAAGAUAAGAUUUCCCUAGGACUUUAUGUCCUCUAAAGAGCCGUUCGAGACUAGGACGUUGAUAGGUUGGAUGUGGAAGCAUAGUGAUAUGUGAAGCUGACCAAUACUAAUUGCUCGUGAGGCUUGACUAUACAACACCCAAGCAGUUG